RNAcentral lists this ribosomal RNA (253 nucleotides) under uncultured bacterium. RNAcentral describes it as "partial 16S ribosomal RNA". It matches the Rfam family "Bacterial small subunit ribosomal RNA", at positions 524 to 776 of the family's 1533-position model. The record is from RNAcentral.
UACGGAGGGUGCUAGCGUUGUUCGGAAUCACUGGGCGUAAAGCGCGUGUAGGCGGCCCACUAAGUCUGAUGUGAAAGCCCGGGGCUCACCCCCGGAAGUGCAUUGGAAACUGGUGGACUCGAGUCCCGGAGAGGAGGGUGGAAUUCCUGGUGUAGCGGUGAAAUGCGUAGAUAUCAGGAGGAACACCCGUAGCGAAGGCGGCACUCUGGGCCGAUACUGACACUGAGGAGCGAAAGCGUGGGGAGCGAACAGG